RNAcentral lists this ribosomal RNA (404 nucleotides) under uncultured bacterium. RNAcentral describes it as "bacterial SSU rRNA". It matches the Rfam family "Bacterial small subunit ribosomal RNA", at positions 355 to 774 of the family's 1533-position model. The record is from RNAcentral.
UGGGGAAUAUUGCACAAUGGAGGGAACUCUGAUGCAGCAACGCCGCGUGAACGAGGAAGGCUUUCGAGUCGUAAAGUUCUGUUUUAAGGGAAGAAGAAGUGACGGUACCUUAAGAGCAAGCCACGGCUAAUUACGUGCCAGCAGCCGCGGUAAUACGUAAGUGGCAAGCGUUAUCCGGAAUUACUGGGCAUAAAGCGUUCGUAGGCGGUUAAGAAAGCCAGGUAGUGAAAGCCACAGGCCUAACCUGUGUAAGCUAAUGGAACUUCUUAACUUGAGUACAGUAGAGGAAAGUGGAAUUCCUAGUGUAGUAGUGAAAUGCGUAGAUAUUAGGGAGAACAUCAGUAGCGAAGGCGACUUUCUGGACUGUAACUGACGCUGAGGGACGAAAGCGUGGGUAGCGAACA